This 94-nucleotide microRNA precursor is filed under the name Bombyx mori (domestic silkworm). RNAcentral's name for it is "mir-2807 microRNA precursor family". It matches the Rfam family "mir-2807 microRNA precursor family". Lineage: Eukaryota; Metazoa; Arthropoda; Insecta; Lepidoptera; Bombycidae. The record is from Rfam by way of RNAcentral.
UUAACGCAAAUUUGUAUGGAGUACUAUGGAGUUGGAACAUUUGGCUACGUUUUCCGCUAGGGGCGCUGUUCCAACUGUAUACAAAUUUGAGUUA